AGAUGUUCAUGCUGCCUAAUCAAAUGUUGUCAUCAUUUUCCAAUAUCAAUUAGCCCAGGCAUCAUCUCUAGUUACACAACACCUAUUUUUUUUUCUUCUGCGAAAAGCAUCUCCCAAUUUCCUAGUUACAAAUAUGGAGGGACGCAUAAAACAUUUCCCUCUUUAGCUCAAAUUAUUUACACACUAGUUAUCUCGAUAAAGUCCAAGGUUAAGAAUCCUCUAACUACAAAGUAGACCAAACACUAGGAAUUUUGGAUUUUUGCAUCGGAAGAGUCUCCAAUUCUAACUUCCCAAGAUUAGAGGUAGAGCCUUCACCAUUGUUUUCUUCUUCACUUUCAAGUUGCCUCAGAGUCCUCUUGGCGUAGACUGUGAAAGCCACUAUGGUGACAAUUGCUAUAAUGAAAGAAAUAACAUUAUAGACAAUCUCAACUGUAGUCAGAUGAUGGUUCCCAUAUUGCACAUCCGCAAAUGUCCUAAUUAGGCGACCACUGUAGAUGUAAAUGAAGGAUUCGGGAGCCAUUCCUGCAACAGAUCCCCAAAAAUAAGGCCAGAACCUCAUCUUUGUCACCACCACUGCAUAAUUGAAGACUGUGUAUGGAAAUGGCGAAAUCCUAAAUAUCGCAACCACACGGAAUUGAUGAAACCAACUCCCUUCUCCCACCAGUCUAAUCAUAGCUGCCAUGUGAGGCCAUCUCUUCAACCAUUGAUGAAUUCUAUCUCUGAAAAACAAGCCAACGAAAUAUGGCAGGAUCAUCCCAACUGUUGUUCCAGCCAUUAUAAUAACAAAUCCAAGACCGUAUCCAAAGAUCAUUCCAGCGAGCCACAUUGAUGGUCCAGAAGGAAUAAAAAAUACCGGAAAUAGUGCCAAAGAAGCUACAAGUACGAGGGCAAGAACUGGACGGCCAAAUGCAGUGGCUUCCCAAUGUAGUGUUGGAACUAGAAUCUUCUCGAAAAAAAAGGGCACUCCCCAUUUUAUGGAAACUAGUAGAAUUAUCAGAGAGAAAAUACACCAUAUAAUGGCCUUGAUCCACCAUACAA
This 1038-nucleotide unclassified non-coding RNA is filed under the name Hevea brasiliensis (rubber tree). Lineage: Eukaryota; Viridiplantae; Streptophyta; Magnoliopsida; Malpighiales; Euphorbiaceae. The record is from RNAcentral.